CGCGCGGGGCGGGGGCGCGCGGCGGCCGCAGCGGCCUGUGGCGCCGUCACCCGGCAGACUCCGGAGGGUCGAGCACGGUGCCGGUGCCGCUGCCGCUGGCCAGGCGCGCGGGGACGUUUCGCGGGCUGCGCCGGUGGCGGCCCGCCUUCCCGGGGGUCCAGUUAUCAUGUCGCUGAGGCAGCGCCUGGCCCAACUGGCUGGCCGUCUGCAGGACCCGCAGAAAGUGGCCCGUUUCCAGCGGCUGUGCGGGGUGGAAGCGCCGCCGCGACGCUCAGCGGACCCGAGGGAGGAUGAGAAGGCGGAGGCGCCCCUCGCCGGAGACCCUUGUCUGCGAGGGCGGCAGCCAGGGGCGCCCGGAGGCCCCCAGCCACCCGGGAGCGACCGCAAUCAGUGCCCGGCCAAGCCGGACGGCGGCGGCGCCCCCAACGGCGUGCGGAACGGGCUGGCGGCCGAGCUGGGCCCGGCCUCGCCGCGGCGCGCUGGCGCCCUGCGCCGCAACUCGCUGACCGGCGAGGAGGGCCAGCUGGCCCGCGUGAGCAACUGGCCUCUCUACUACCUGUUCUGCUUCGGCGCGGAGCUGGGCAACGAACUCUUCUACAUCCUGUUCUUCCCCUUCUGGAUCUGGAACCUGGACCCCCUGGUGGGCCGGAGGCUCGUGGUCAUCUGGGUGCUGGUCAUGUACCUGGGCCAGUGCACCAAGGACAUCAUACGCUGGCCGCGGCCCGCCUCGCCGCCGGUGGUCAAGUUGGAGGUCUUCUACAACUCCGAGUACAGCAUGCCCUCCACCCAUGCCAUGUCCGGCACCGCCAUCCCCAUUUCUAUGGUCCUCCUCACCUAUGGCCGCUGGCAGGUAAGGGUUCCCGCUCCUCGUUCGGCUCAGCCUCGGGGGAGUUCAGAGAACUCGGAGUUCUCUUGGCUCUAUACAUUUAUUUUAAUUCGGCCGUUCCCCUCCAGAGCCUCUGUUUCCACAGGUUUUCACAGUACCCGCAAACAGGCCCUUUCUGGGUUUUGAAAAAUUAGGUGAUUGGGGGAAACUAGAGACUUAGCGGUUGAAUUCUAUUUUAAUAUUAAAUUCCAAAUUAAUACCUUUCUUGUAACCCAAAGGACACACGUUUCCUAGAGUAAUACAUUGUCAUUAGGCUUUGGUUGAAUUUUUAAACGGCUUUAAUUCUUGUGAUGCACAGUGGAAGUGAGUUUUUUUUAAAUAAUUAAUUGCUACGUAACUAACACCCACUUUCACCGUAAUAUAUGGUGCCUCCUCUAAAACCGAUUGUUUCAGAGAGGUAAAGUCGUUAGCUUUACUGUGAGACAGUGUUUACAAAACCUUAGUGUAAUCUCAAAACAAACAUGCUAGUUCCAAGCAAUGAAGUUAUCGAUUUUCAGCGAAAUCCCCUUUAUGGAAGUUAAUGGAGCACUGUGUGAGUUCUGUUUUUAAGGGGUGUGGUUGCCACUUUGCUGAUAAAUACAAAGUUUAAUUAUCUUCUGGAUCACUGAUCUGUAGUAUCUGUCCGUUGUUGAGCUGCAGCUGUAAUACUACAGUGUUAUUGCCUCAUUAACUAAAAAUACAUGACUUAAAAGUUAUUCUUAAAGAUAGGGCUCUUGAUCAGACUAGUGGGUUUAUAAAUAUGGCAAAUAUGACAGCAGGGUCAGCCUGGCAAUCAGGAAGACUUUUGUCUUUUUGGUUUUUUAACCCUAUCUGAAACCUCCCAAGGGAAGAGUUUUUAAUGGUAAUCGUUUUGAUUUUUCUUACACUUUUGGCCUUCUAUUGCGUAUCUGUCUUUUAAACUGUAAGAUUUGUUAAUCCUGCAAACCAGUACCUUAUUUUAAGAAUAAAGUGUGUAAUUAGGGAGACUCUAAGGAAACAGACUUCCAUUUUUCCCCUUUACUGCACAAAAUCAUUUUACAUUGAGAAAUAUACAUUCUGUGUAAAACUCCAUUGUGAUAAGCUUAGUUAUUCCACAUUGAAUUUCAGCGUAGAUAAAAUCUUGUCCCCAUGUAUACUUCCGUAUAGUGCAUCUCUUUUACAGUACAUGGAAAAUAUGCAUUGUGCAUAGUGACAAUGGCAGAGUUAGGAGUAAAGAGUACCAUGGGAAGUUUUUUCCUAUGUAACCAAAGGAACUCUACAGUGAUGUUCAGAUUAUGAAGCAGUGCUGCCUGUUUUGCAUGAUAGAUAAGUAUCUCAGAUGUUUCAUUUCAUCAAGAUAUUUCAGAAUUUAAGAUUUCUGGUGAGCUGUGUUUGGUCUGAUGAUGUUAGCUGAUGAUGUUCCUCUUAUUUUCAUGAGACUUUUAGGAUUCUGUAACAAUAGAGCCUUUAAUGAUGCCUUCUCAGUGAGUAGCUAUUUUGUAUGCUCUUAGUAUUAGAAAAGUAAGUGAACAUAGUUAUUUUUGCUCUUUAUUUGUUCAGGACACAUGCUAACUGGGAGUCUGAAAACAGUACUGCUGAAUCGUUUCUGGGAUAUUGAUAAUCUAACAUUUCAGGGUUAGUUGAAUUAUCAGAAUAAGCUUAGAGUUUUUAAACAACCUUGUAUGUUUAAAUCAAAGUUUAAGGAAUUUGUUUAUCAUACAAUUUUAGACUUUGAAGUAGACUGGAUGUUAGAAAUCACCUAGUUGAAAGCUGUCAUUUUACAGAUAUGCAAACCGACCAGUUACAUUGGAAUUAAUCUUGUAAUGGUUUACAUUUCUUAUUUUACAUUUUUUCACUCUAAAUUUGCAUAAUUAUUUUUUGGUUAGCUGUUCAGAAAACCUUU
This is an RNA transcript of Sapajus apella (tufted capuchin), 2747 nucleotides long. It is a transcript of the gene named sphingosine-1-phosphate phosphatase 1 pseudogene, with no coding region annotated. NCBI's taxonomy places the organism in Eukaryota, Metazoa, Chordata, Mammalia, Primates, Cebidae. The transcript has a single exon. The record is from RefSeq and is a predicted model, not a curated record.